GACGAACCCUUAAGGGGUGCUUAACAUAUGCAAGUCGAACGGAAAGGCCCUGCUUUUGUGGGGUGCUCGAGUGGCGAACGGGCUCAAAACACGUGAGUAACCUGCCCUUGACUUUGGGAUAACUUCAGGAAACUGGGGCUAAUACCGGAUAGGAGCUCCUGCUGCAUGGUGGGGGUUGGAAAGUUUCGGCGGUUGGGGAUGGACUCGCGGCCUAUCAGCUUGUUGGUGGGGUAGUGGCUUACCAAGGCUUUGACGGGUAGCCGGCCUGAGAGGGUGACCGGCCACAUUGGGACUGAGAUACGGCCCAGACUCCUACGGGAGGCAGCAGUGGGGAAUAUUGCACAAUGGGCGGAAGCCUGAUGCAUCAACGCCGCGUGCGGGAUGACGGCCUUCGGGUUGUAAACCGCUUUCGCCUGUGACGAAGCGUGAGUGACGGUAAUGGGUAAAGAAGCACCGGCUAACUACGUGCCAGCAGCCGCGGUGAUACGUAGGGUGCGAGCGUUUGUCCGGAUUUAUUGGGCGUAAAGGGCUCGUAGGUGGUUGAUCGCGUCGGAAGUGUAAUCUUGGGGCUUAACCCUGAGCGUGCUUUCAAUACGGGUUGACUUGAGGAAGGUAGGGGAGAAUGGAAUUCCUGGUGGAGCGGUGGAAUGCGCAGAUAUCAGGAGGAACACCAGUGGCGAAGGCGGUUCUCUGGGCCUUUCCUGACGCUGAGGAGCGAAAGCGUGGGGAGCGAACAGGCUUAGAUACCCUGGUAGUCCACGCUGUAAACGGCGGGUACUAGGUGUGGGGUCCAUUCCACGGGUUCCGUGCCGUAGCUAACGCUUUAAGUACCCCGCCUGGGGAGUACGGCCGCAAGGCUAAAACUCAAAGGAAUUGACGGGGCCCCGCACAAGCGGCGGAGCAUGCGGAUUAAUUCGAUGCAACGCGUAGAACCUUACCUGGGUUUGACAUGGAUCGGGAGUGCUCAGAGAUGGGUGUGCCUCUUUUGGGGUCGGUUCACAGGUGGUGCAUGGCUGUCGUCAGCUCGUGUCGUGAGAUGUUGGGUUAAGUCCCGCAACGAGCGCAACCCUUGUUCACUGUUGCCAGCACGUUAUGGUGGGGACUCAGUGGAGACCGCCGGGGUCAACUCGGAGGAAGGUGGGGAUGACGUCAAGUCAUCAUGCCCCUUAUGUCCAGGGCUUCACGCAUGCUACAAUGGCUGGUACAGAGAGUGGCGAGCCUGUGAGGGUGAGCGAAUCUCGGAAAGCCGGUCUCAGUUCGGAUUGGGGUCUGCAACUCGACCUCAUGAAGUCGGAGUCGCUAGUAACCGCAGAUCAGCAACGCUGCGGUGAAUACGUUCCCGGGGCU
This 1347-nucleotide ribosomal RNA is filed under the name uncultured bacterium. RNAcentral's name for it is "bacterial SSU rRNA". It matches the Rfam family "Bacterial small subunit ribosomal RNA", at positions 28 to 1381 of the family's 1533-position model. The record is from RNAcentral.